This 2557-nucleotide long non-coding RNA is filed under the name Homo sapiens (human). RNAcentral's name for it is "non-protein coding lnc-USP34-1:1". Lineage: Eukaryota; Metazoa; Chordata; Mammalia; Primates; Hominidae. The record is from RNAcentral.
AUGCUCAUAAACCUGCUCUCCUAGGAGACCUGAAGGCUGCUUCCGCUAACCCGGGCUGGCGCUGCUAACCUCACCCAACGAUCCCUGCUGUCGGAAAAUGUCCAGAGGCACCAUCCCUGCUAUGAAGAGGGAAUGCCAGUACAACAGCCACAAGGGGUCUUCCUGUGGCCCUCAAACAAAAAAUCACUGCAUUACAUCAGCAGACUGCAUUGGAGAGAAAGGCGCCGGGACAGAAAAGCCUGAGAUAAACCACCUGUCAUUCUUGGAGAAAAGGAUGCUGCGGCUUUCCCGAUUUGGUUGAUGAGAUGGAAAAUCAACCCUUACAGGAAGGACAUCACCAAUUCCGGAAAGGAUGCUGCGCCAGUCAUGUUUCCGCACUCUGUGAGACGUUGAAAUCUCCAGAAGUUGCCCAAGGUUUUCAAGCUGAACACAGGAGAAAUGACUCUGGAUCUCUGAGGACUGUUUUCCUCAAUAAGGAGCUGCAAUCUUGGCUCCACCACCCUCCCUCCAAAACAUCUCGUGUGUCUGGUAUCUGGUUAUAUUGUGGCCUGACAGAGAAGUUUCUUUCGGGGCCAGUGAAUUAAAAAAAAAAAAAAAAAGAAAAGCGGGUCCUACCAACUCAUUAAUACUUUAAUACUUUAAAUUUCCCUCUUUAUAGUAGGUUGAAAUGUCAGUAUCUCUUAAGAACAAUGGCUGAACCAAAUGUUUCCUCAAAACUCACAUUUUUUCCCACCAUUUCAGAAGCUGCCUCAGGACUAAGCUUUGAUUUUUUUUUUUUUUUUUAAUCUGGCCCAAAUUCCUAUCUAAGGGGCCUGGGGAGUCAUGCCCAACAAACCAUAAAUUCUCAUCAGAUGAGUUUUAUUUAACCCUAUAUAUGGUGACUUGCUUUCCAGUCUGACUCUGGCAUGACAUGUGACAAAGAAGAAAGUCAAAAUAUUUUACCCCAAAACAUGUUUCUUUGCCAUAUUUUGAAAUGGUCCUGCAAAGCUGUGCUUUGUGGGGGAAAAUAUGCAUCUGUAAAGAAUCUCUAUUAACACAGCUAGAUCUUUUUCUUCCAGGCCCUCCCAAUCCUGAAGAGACUGAGAGUCUAGCAUUGUUUUAAAGGUCUGAAUAGGAAACAUUUGUCAUCUAUCAUCUCUAAGGGUAGCCAUUAUAAGACUUCAAAAGAACCUUUUGAAGUAUUAUAAUCUUUUAUCUUAACCUGAACAUGUGCUUCCUAUUGAUCCCAGGUCUUCAGACAAUUGUGAACUCAACCAUUUGUCAAUUAGAAAAUGUUUAAAUUGGCUGGGCACAGUGUCUCAUGCCUCUAAUCCCAGCACUUUGGAAGACCAAGGCGGGCAGAUUGCCUGACCUCAGGAGUUCGAGACCAGCCUGGGCAACAUGGUGAAACCCCGUCUCUACUAAAAUACAAAAAUUUAGCCGGGCGUAGUGGCAUGCACCUGUAGUCCCAGCUACUUGGGAAGCUGAGGAAGGAGAAUUGCUUGAACCCGGCGGGCAGAGGUUGCAGUAAGCAGAGAUCGUGCCACUGCACUCCAGCUUGGGCAACAAAGUGAGACUCCAUCACAGAAAAAAAAAAGAAAAUGUUUACCUUUACCUAUAGCCUGGAAAUCCCUGCUUUGAGUUGCUCCAUCUUUCUGAACCAAACCAAUGUUAUUUCUUAAACGUAUUUCAUUGAUGUCUCAUGCCUCCCUAAAAUGUAUAAAACCAAGCUGUGCCCCGAACACCUUGGGCACAUGUUCUCAGGACCUCCUGAGGGCCGUGUCACGGGUCAUAAUCACUCAUAUUUGGCUCAGAAUAAAUCUCUUCAAACAUUUUACAGAGUUGACUCUUAGUCAACAUGUCCAUACCUGAUGAGAUGCUUCAUCAAAAUUCUAGUGGACUGGCUAGUUCAGAAAAUGGACCAGCCAGGUUUGCUUAAAUGCACCCCUGCACAACUAUCUCACUCCUGCUUGGAGCCGGCUAGAUCAGGAGACCUGUCCCUAAACUAAUGUACUCCAUGUCUUAAGUCUUUUUGUUUUGUUUUGUUUUUGUUUUUGACAGAGUCUCAGUCUGUCACCCAGGCUGGAGUGCAGUGGCGUGAUCUUGGCUCGCUGCAACCUCCGCCUCCCAGGUUCAAGAGAUUCUCCUGUCUCAGCCUCCCAAGUAGCUGGGACAACAGGUGUGCACCACCAUGCCCUGCUAAUUUUUGUGUUUUAAGUAGAGAUGGGGUCUCACCCUGUUGGCCAGGCUGGUCUCAAAUUCCUGACCUCAGGUGAUCCACCCACCUCGGCCUCCCAAAGUGCUGUAAUUACAGGCAUGAGCCACCGCACCCAGCCCAUGUGUCUUGGUCUUUUUUACUAAUAUUGAUUAUAAAAUGGAUGAAACUUUGGAUAAAAUUUCUGCGUUAGAAUUUCUUUUUAUAUCUGUCCUAAAGCUUGUAACUACUUGCUCAUGAUUUUUUGUGUAUGUUUAGCAAUGUGCAUGUCAUUGAUGGCCUUUGUAAAGUAUGUUCAAUUGAGUUGUGGAGACAGAGGUGCAAUUGGAGUAGGUUGUAAGAAUAAAAAGGAGUAGGCAAAAA